UAUUAAAGUUGUUGCGGUUAAAAAGCUCGUAGUUGAAUCUGUGUCUCGCGCUGUCGGUUCGCCGCCCGCGGCGUUAAACUGGCACGCACGCGAGACAUCUUGCCGGUGGGAUGCGGCGCACUCGCCGGCUCGGACCACGCGCUCCGUGGAGACUCCGUGUCGUCCGCGGUAGCGCCGGAUCCCGGGUCCGAUCCGCUGUGCGCCCGUCCCGACCACGAAUCCCGUCGCGGUGCUCUUCGCCGAGUGUCGCUGCGGGCCGGCACGUUUACUUUGAACAAAUUAGAGUGCUCAAAGCAGGCCGAAAAUUCACCUGGAUACUGUGUGCAUGGAAUAAUGGAACAGGACCUCGGUUCUAUUUUGUUGGUUUUCGGAAGCCCCGAGGUAAUGAUCGAUAGGGACAGAUGGGGGCAUUCGUAUUGCGACGUUAGAGGUGAAAUUCUUGGAUGUCGCAAGACGGACGGAAGCGAAAGCAUUUGCCAAAAAUGUUUUCAUUAAUCAAGAACGAAAGUCAGAGGUUCGAAGGCGAUCAGAUACCGCCCUAGUUCUGACCAUAAACGAUGCCAGCUAGCGAUCCGCCGACGUUCCUCCGAUGACUCGGCGGGCAGCAUCCGGGAAACCAAAGCUUUUGGGUUCCGGGGGAAGUAUGGUUGCAAAGCUGAAACUUAAAGGAAUUGACGGAAGGGCACCACCAGGAGUGGAGCCUGCGGCUUAAUUUGACUCAACACUGGAAACCUCACCAGGCCCGGACACCGGAAGGAUUGACAGAUUGAGAGCUCUUUCUUGAUUCGGUGGGUGGUGGUGCAUGGCCGUUCUUAGUUGGUGGAGCGAUUUGUCUGGUUAAUUCCGAUAACGAACGAGACUCUGGCCUGCUAACUAGGCGUUACUCACCGGCAUCCCGAGGGUUCGCGUGUCCCGUCAGCCGGCGCGCGUGUCGGGUGUCGUGUCGCGCCACGCCGGUCGCUUCGGUGACCGUGCGCGCGCGCGCGCGCCCCGUCCACGCCCGGUCGGGUGUUCGCGGCCGUCACUGCCGGCGUACAAAAAUUUCUUCUUAGAGGGACAGGCGGCUCCUAGCCGCACGAGAUCGAGCAAUAACAGGUCUGUGAUGCCCUUAGAUGUUCUGGGCCGCACGCGCGCUACACUGAAGGAAUCAGCGUGUCCUCCCUGGCCGAACGGUCCGGGUAACCCGCUGAACCUCCUUCGUGCUAGGGAUCGGGGCUUGCAAUUUUUCCCCAUGAACGAGGAAUUCCCAGUAAGCGCGGGUCAUAAGCUCGCGUUGAUUACGUCCCUGCCCUUUGUACACACCGCCCGUCGCUACUACCGAUUGAAUAAUUUAGUGAGGUCUUCGGACCGGCACGCGGCGACGUUUCGACUUCGCCGAUGUCGCUGGGAAGAUGACCAAACUUGAUCAUUU
This 1411-nucleotide ribosomal RNA is filed under the name Nebrioporus baeticus. RNAcentral describes it as "SSU rRNA". It matches the Rfam family "Eukaryotic small subunit ribosomal RNA", at positions 602 to 1774 of the family's 1831-position model. Lineage: Eukaryota; Metazoa; Arthropoda; Insecta; Coleoptera; Dytiscidae. The record is from RNAcentral.